This 1036-nucleotide long non-coding RNA is filed under the name Heterocephalus glaber (naked mole-rat). RNAcentral's name for it is "lncRNA (ENSHGLG00000047489.1)". The record is from RNAcentral. Lineage: Eukaryota; Metazoa; Chordata; Mammalia; Rodentia; Bathyergidae.
CCUAGGCACUGGGAAGGAUGACCAGGCUGGGCACCAACCCAGCUGUGGUCUUCUAAGUACGGGUGGUACCAAGGAGCUGUGGCAAAGGGAAAUAAAAAGGUGAACACCAGCUCAGAGAAGCAGAUAGGCGGCUUCUGGAGAAGAAAACUUCCACAUGAGUGUAACAGGUGGCCAUCUCUGAGAUCGGUCCUUUCUGAAGAGAAGGAGCUAGAGCCUGGGUCAGGAGUUCUUAGCCAUGUGUGAUUGGCUAAGGCCACUGGUCAGAAUUUUCCGAUCCUUCCAAACGCUACGGGAUCAUUUGAGGACGUGAACCUACAUGUCAGCGUUUCUAGAAGAAAGCUGUGAACAGAAGUGACCACAGGAAGUCUGGGAAUGUCACCUCCCUUUCCUUUCCCCACCCUUCAGCUCAGUAAAGGGAACUUCCAUGGUGUGUUGUAGGCACUGUCGCACCUCACACCUGUCAUCGGCUAAGCCCUGCUCCUCAGGUCUUCUGGGCCUAGGCCUGGCAACCUCCCACCACCUAGGGCCUCGAGUGCUGACCUCGGCACUGAAGGUUUGGCCCUUGCUGGAAAAGAUGAGCCAGAGCUGGGAGAGCUGUGUAAAAGGAAGCCAUGCUUCGGCUGUUAUGUGUCUGCCGACACAACUGACAUCCUCAGGGAGAAGAGAACAUAAGCAACCCUACAAAAUCCAAAAGAGCCUAAAAUACUGUGCCCACUUACGUUAUCAAGAGAAUGACAGCCAAAAAUUGGAACCAAUCCAAAGAUCCAGCAGCAGGUCAAAGUACAAGCAAAUGGCACAAAACGUUGAGAGAAGAAUUUCUUGGGUCUGGAGUACAGAGUAACUCAGAACACUGCCCACGAUUUACUGUCAAUGAAACUACUAGAACUUAGUAUUAUGUAUCACACGUCUAUCAUAAAAACUUUAAAAUAAUAGCAACAACCAUUGAAAUGCUCCUGUUUGCCAGGUACUAUCCAGGCAUUUGGCACCUAGAUCACCAAGGUGGGUCACCCAGCCCAUGGGCAUGAUUCCAAUGAAG